RNAcentral lists this small RNA (132 nucleotides) under Vibrio aestuarianus subsp. francensis. RNAcentral's name for it is "yybP-ykoY". Lineage: Bacteria; Pseudomonadati; Pseudomonadota; Gammaproteobacteria; Vibrionales; Vibrionaceae. The record is from RNAcentral.
UCUGGCCGUUUGAGGGAGUAGCUAUUUUGCGUUGUGAAAACGUAGAAGGUUGCAUCAACAUAUUUGACAACACGUCAUGGUGUAACCAGUAGUACGUUUUAGUACUUACCAAGCGAGACUCGAAUAACUUAC